RNAcentral lists this ribosomal RNA (408 nucleotides) under uncultured bacterium. RNAcentral's name for it is "partial 16S ribosomal RNA". It matches the Rfam family "Bacterial small subunit ribosomal RNA", at positions 29 to 526 of the family's 1533-position model. The record is from RNAcentral.
AUUGAACGCUGGCGGCGUGCUUAACACAUGCAAGUCGAACGAAGUGGCGAACGGGUGAGUAACGCGUAAUCAACCUGCCCUUCAGAGGGGGACAACAGUUGGAAACGACUGCUAAUACCGCAUACUGAAGGAGGGGAUUGCGUCUGAUUAGCUAGUUGGAGGGGUAAAGGCCCAACAAGGCGAUGGUCAGUAGCCGGUCUGGAAGGAUGAACGGCCACAUUGGGACUGAGACACGGCCCAGACUCCUACGGGAGGCAGCAGUGGGGAAGCUUCCGCAAUGGGCGAAAGGCUGACGGAGCAAAGCCGCGUGAGUGAUGACGGCCUUCAGGUUGUAAAGCUCUGUUAAUCGGGGCGCGGUACCGGAAUAGAAAGCCACGGCUAACUACGUGCCAGCCGCCGCGGUAAUAC